UGCCUUCCAAGCAGUUGACCCGGGUUCGAUUCCCGGCCAACGCA
This 44-nucleotide transfer RNA is filed under the name Haliaeetus albicilla (white-tailed eagle). It matches the Rfam family "tRNA", at positions 28 to 71 of the family's 71-position model. From Rfam's summary of the family: Transfer RNA (tRNA) molecules are approximately 80 nucleotides in length. Their secondary structure includes four short double-helical elements and three loops (D, anti-codon, and T loops). Lineage: Eukaryota; Metazoa; Chordata; Aves; Accipitriformes; Accipitridae. RNAcentral also lists the same sequence under 2 other names. The record is from Rfam by way of RNAcentral.